UUUUAUUAUGAUUUGUUUUGCCCAGUAGUUUCAAAGAAUAGAGACGACCAUCUCUACAGGUAUAAGAAUUUGUAAGAGGACCAAGCCAUGAGGUUCUUGUCAUUUGUGAAAUUGGACAUGAGCUGCUUGUAGAAGGUAAAUGCAGGGAUGGAGCAUGAAAACCUAUCCUAUUUCUAAGCCUUAACGUCCUAGCAGGUGUUAAUAAUAACAAUUCUUAAUAACUGCUUAUUAACAACAUGCAUUAAAACAAGCACAAUGAAUAAAUAUGAUUAUUUUAUUGCUAUUUUAGUGGAAUGUUUCCCAGAGGAGAGAAGACAAUUUAACUGCACAGAGACUGGAACUGGUAAGGGUCUCUCUGUUACUAUAUUAGAAACCAAAUUAUUAGUCUUCAUUAUCCUUUUUUGCUUAUUGGCCCUUGAUACACUCAGCCAUCGAAUGGUGUUCAACCUUGGACAAAAUUGAUUCUGCAAAUAAUGAAAUGUUAGUAAAAAUAGAAGAAUUAAAAAAAAAAAACUUGGUCCAUUCUUCAAAUUGUUGCAUUUCAUUAUAUGAUUAAAUUAAUGGUGUCUAGAACCUAAGACCAUAUAUCUAAAUAGUAUGUAGCCUUCCAAAAGAAAAAUGUUGACAUUUUAUCGGAAUGUUUUAGGUGUAUUAAAAAAGUGUGGUUAUCAUCAAAUGUUUAUCAGAAUUAGUUUAUGUAGACAGUAAAUGUCGGUGUAUAUAUUUUACUACCAGGCUCUGGAUCCUUAUGCUUGAAUAUCUGAGACAACAGCAUCAAACACAGCCAAAAUCCUGUACACAUAGGGAGCUGAGUCAAGAAAUUAAUGGGUUAAAGGAGAAAAGACUAAACUUCACUGCUGAAAUUUGAGACAACUGCAUCAAACACAGACAGAAUUAUAUAAACAUAGGGAGCUGAGUCAAGAGAUUCAUCGGUUGAAGGAGAAGAGACUAAACUUCACUGCUGAAAUUUGAGACAACUGCAUCAAACACAGCCAUAAUUAUAUACACAGAGGGAGCUCAGUCAAGAGAUUUGUGGAUUGAAAGAGAAGAGGUUUAACUGGACUGCUCAUUGAAGAAAACUAGAUUAUGGCUCAAGAUUAAGCAAGAAGGCUUUUGGUCGCACCUCUCAUCAAAGUCAUCUUUUGGGAUUUACAUUCAACAUCUAGAUUUACAUUAUACUUCUUUAGAAAACCAUUGUGAAAAUGUAUUUUUGCUCAAUGAAAAAAAU
Molecule: long non-coding RNA, 1228 nt
Filed under: Pelobates cultripes (western spadefoot toad)
Lineage: Eukaryota; Metazoa; Chordata; Amphibia; Anura; Pelobatidae
Source: RNAcentral